GACGAACGCUGGCGGCGUGCUUAACACAUGCAAGUCGAACGGAAAGGCCCUGCUUUUGUGGGGUGCUCGAGUGGCGAACGGGUGAGUAACACGUGAGUAACCUGCCCUUGACUUUGGGAUAACUUCAGGAAACUGGGGCUAAUACCGGCUAGGAGCUCCUGCUGCAUGGUGGGGGUUGGAAAGUUUCGGCGGUUGGGGAUGGACUCGCGGCUUAUCAGCUUGUUGGUGGGGUAGUGGCUUACCAAGGCUUUGACGGGUAGCCGGCCUGAGAGGGUGACCGGCCACAUUGGGACUGAGAUACGGCACAGACUCCUACGGGAGGCAGCAGUGGGGAAUAUUGCACAAUGGGCGGAAGCCUGAUGCAGCAACGCCGCGUGCGGGAUGACGGCCUUCGGGUUGUAAACCGCUUUCGCCUGUGACGAAGCGUGAGUGACGGUAAUGGGUAAAGAAGCACCGGCUAACUACGUG
Molecule: ribosomal RNA, 468 nt
Filed under: uncultured bacterium
Lineage: Bacteria
Description: partial 16S ribosomal RNA
Rfam family: Bacterial small subunit ribosomal RNA
Source: RNAcentral